GCCAGGUGUGGUGGUGCACGCCUGUAAUCCCAGAGGCUUGGGAGGCUGAGGCAGAAGGAUUGCAAAUUCAAAGUGAGCCUCAGCAACUU
This 89-nucleotide small RNA is filed under the name Marmota monax (woodchuck). The record is from RNAcentral. Lineage: Eukaryota; Metazoa; Chordata; Mammalia; Rodentia; Sciuridae.